UACAGAGGAUGCAAGCGUUAUCCGGAAUGAUUGGGCGUAAAGCGUCUGUAGGUGGCUUUUUAAGUCCGCCGUCAAAUCCCAGGGCUCAACUCUGGACAGGCGGUGGAAACUACCAAGCUGGAGUACGGUAGGGGCAGAGGGAAUUUCCGGUGGAGCGGUGAAAUGCGUAGAUAUGCGGAGGAACACCGAUGGCGAAGGCAAUCCCCUGGACCUGUACUGACGCUCAUGCACGAAAGCGUGGGGAGCAAACAGG
This 253-nucleotide ribosomal RNA is filed under the name uncultured bacterium. RNAcentral's name for it is "partial 16S ribosomal RNA". It matches the Rfam family "Bacterial small subunit ribosomal RNA", at positions 524 to 776 of the family's 1533-position model. The record is from RNAcentral.